RNAcentral lists this ribosomal RNA (466 nucleotides) under uncultured bacterium. RNAcentral's name for it is "bacterial SSU rRNA". It matches the Rfam family "Bacterial small subunit ribosomal RNA", at positions 329 to 793 of the family's 1533-position model. The record is from RNAcentral.
GACCAGACUCCUACGGGAGGCAGCAGUGAGGAAUAUUGGUCAAUGGCCGGAAGGCUGAACCAGCCAAGCCGCGUGAGGGAGGAAGGCGCAGAGCGUCGCAGACCUCUUUUGCCGGGGGACAAAAGGCCGGACUCGCCCGGUCCUGAGGGUACCCGGAGAAAAAGCAUCGGCUAACUCCGUGCCAGCAGCCGCGGUAAUACGGAGGAUGCGAGCGUUAUCCGGAUUCAUUGGGUUUAAAGGGUGCGUAGGCGGAAUGCCAAGUCAGCGGUAAAAUUGCGGGGCUCAACCCCGUACUGCCGUUGAAACUGCAUCCCUUGAGUGCGCGAGAAGUAUGCGGAAUGCGUGGUGUAGCGGUGAAAUGCAUAGAUAUCACGCAGAACUCCGAUUGCGAAGGCAGCAUACCGGCUCCACACUGACGCUGAGGCACGAAAGCGUGGGUAUCGAACAGGAUUAGAUACCCCGGUAC